Molecule: ribosomal RNA, 1596 nt
Filed under: Allobates zaparo (sanguine poison frog)
Lineage: Eukaryota; Metazoa; Chordata; Amphibia; Anura; Aromobatidae
Description: 16S ribosomal RNA
Rfam family: Bacterial large subunit ribosomal RNA
Source: RNAcentral
GCCAAAUUUCUAGCCCUAAAUAUAAAUAUUUACACUAAUUAAUUCUUACCCCCUAUACUAAAACAUUUUCAUAUUUAAGUAAAGGCGAUAAAAAAAAUUCUCAGAGCAAUAGUAACAGUACCGCAAGGGAAUGAUGAAAUAAAAUUGAAAUAAUUCUUAAGCACAAAAUAGUAGAGUUUUCCCCUUGUACCUUUUGCAUCAUGGUUUAACUAGUCCCCCUUAGGCAAAAAGAUUUUUAGUCUAACACCCCGAACCCAGGCGAGCUACCCUAAGACAGCUUUUUGAGCCAACCCGUCUCUGUUGCAAAAGAGUGGGAAGAUCUUAUAGUAGAAGCGAAAAACCAAACGAGCCUGGUGAUAGCUGGUUGCUUUAUAAAAGGAUUUUAGUCCAACUUAAAGUUGUCUAUAUAUUAAAAAAAUUUUAACUUUAAAGUAACUCAAAUAAGGUUCAGCCUAUUUGAAAAAGGAUACAACCUAUACUAAUGGGUUCACCUAUGCCCCCACCCCACAAAAAAGUAGGCCUAAAAGCAGCCAUCUUUAAAAAAGCGUCAUAGCUUAUUUUUAUAACUAUCUAAUUCUUAAAGUACUCAUUAACCCUUUACCACUAAAAAGCAACUCUAUACCUCUAUAGAAAAUUUUAUGUUAAAACUAGUAACAAGAAGCAGCCCUUCUCUAAAAUGUACCUGUAUAUCAACAUGGACACCCCACUGAUAAUUAACGCUUAUAAAACCUAAAUAAAAACAUUCCCUCAAGAAAAUUUUAUUUACAUUAACGUUAACCUAACACAAGAACAUUUAAAGAAAGAUUAAAAGAUAAAGAAGGAACUCGGCAAACAUUAGCCCCGCCUGUUUACCAAAAACAUCGCCUCUUGACUAACCAUAAGAGGUCAAGCCUGCCCAGUGACAUUGUUCAACGGCCGCGGUAUCCUAACCGUGCGAAGGUAGCGUAAUCACUUGUCCUUUAAAUAAGGACUAGUAUGAACGGCUUCACGAAGGCUAUUCUGUCUCCUUUGUCUAAUCAGUUAAACUAAUCUCCCCGUGAAGAAGCGGGGAUUAACCUAUAAGACGAGAAGACCCUAUGGAGCUUUAAAUAUCUAAGACAUUUGAUUUUACUAUUAAACUUCAUGUAGCCUAUCAUUUAUGCCUUAAGUUUUAGGUUGGGGUGACCGCGGAGAAAAAUCGAACCUCCACGUAGAAAGAAAAUUUUCUUCUAAGCAAAAAGACACAUCUUAACGCAUCAAUAUAUUGACCUAAAUUGACCCAAUUUCUUGCUCAACGAACCAAGUUACCCUAGGGAUAACAGCGCAAUCCGCUUUGAGAGCUCCUAUCGACAAGCGGGCUUACGACCUCGAUGUUGGAUCAGGGUAUCCUAAUGGUGCAGCAGCUAUUAACGGUUCGUUUGUUCAACGAUUAAAACCCUACGUGAUCUGAGUUCAGACCGGAGCAAUCCAGGUCAGUUUCUAUCUAUAAAAAGUUUUUUCUAGUACGAAAGGACCGAAAAAACAUAGCCAAUGCCCUCAAUGCAAGCCAUUUUUCUAAAUUAUGCUUAAAACUUAAUAACUAAAACUUAACACUUAUUCUCUAAGACAAGGAUAACA